This 486-nucleotide ribosomal RNA is filed under the name uncultured bacterium. RNAcentral describes it as "partial 16S ribosomal RNA". It matches the Rfam family "Bacterial small subunit ribosomal RNA", at positions 30 to 507 of the family's 1533-position model. The record is from RNAcentral.
AUUGAACGCUAGCGGCAUGCCUUACACAUGCAAGUCGAACGGCAGCACGGGUGCUUGCACCUGGUGGCGAGUGGCGAACGGGUGAGUAAUACAUCGGAACAUGUCCUGUAGUGGGGGAUAGCCCGGCGAAAGCCGGAUUAAUACCGCAUACGAUCUACGGAUGAAAGCGGGGGACCUUCGGGCCUCGCGCUAUAGGGUUGGCCGAUAGCUGAUUAGCUAGUUGGUGGGGUAAAGGCCUACCAAGGCGACGAUCAGUAGCUGGUCUGAGAGGACGACCAGCCACACUGGGACUGAGACACGGCCCAGACUCCUACGGGAGGCAGCAGUGGGGAAUUUUGGACAAUGGGCGAAAGCCUGAUCCAGCAAUGCCGCGUGUGUGAAGAAGGCCUUCGGGUUGUAAAGCACUUUUGUCCGGAAAGAAAUCCUUGGCUCUAAUACAGUCGGGGGAUGACGGUACCGGAAGAAUAAGCACCGGCUAACUACGUG